Molecule: ribosomal RNA, 253 nt
Filed under: uncultured bacterium
Lineage: Bacteria
Description: partial 16S ribosomal RNA
Rfam family: Bacterial small subunit ribosomal RNA
Source: RNAcentral
UACAGAGGCGGCAAGCGUUGUUCGGAAUUACUGGGCGUAAAGGGCGCGUAGGCGGUCCCGUCAGUCCCUUGUGAAAUCCCCCGGCUCAACUGGGGAACUGCAAGGGAUACAGCGGGGCUUGAGUUCGGGAGAGGGAAGCGGAAUUCCGGGUGUAGCGGUGAAAUGCGUAGAUAUCCGGAGGAACACCGGUGGCGAAGGCGGCUUCCUGGACCGAUACUGACGCUGAGGCGCGAAAGCUAGGGGAGCAAACGGG